RNAcentral lists this unclassified non-coding RNA (452 nucleotides) under Hevea brasiliensis (rubber tree). Lineage: Eukaryota; Viridiplantae; Streptophyta; Magnoliopsida; Malpighiales; Euphorbiaceae. The record is from RNAcentral.
AUUAGGAAUCACAAAUUACAAAUCGAAUAAAACUAUGAAAGUACUAACUUCUAAAUAAAAUAAAUUACUAUUUCCUACACUUUUUCCUAAAAUAAAUAAUUCUAAAAUUUUUGGGAUUUCCUACGUCACUUAUUAGUCAUAUGAUGAAGCCCAUAACUAUAGAUGUGGUCCAACUGGACAGAGCGAGUGGUGAAUUUAACUAUCUUUGCUUUUUUCACAUGUAUAAAUUAUUCAAAUGAUGCUUGUUCUACAUUCCAAGACCUUAGUAUGCAGUAUUAUCAUUUAUCAUGGCUAUGCAAUGGAGUUGGGUGUAAUCUUGGCUUGUGAUGUCAUUGUUGCCAUUGCAACAAGUAUGAAGAUGUUAUGUAUCUGGCCUGUAAUGCCCUUUGAAACAGAGAAAUAGAGAGAGAGAGAAAUAGACUGGGUUGAGAAAAGAAACAGAAAGGGGAGAA